RNAcentral lists this transfer RNA (71 nucleotides) under Candidatus Huberarchaeum julieae. RNAcentral's name for it is "Euryarchaeota archaeon HGW-Euryarchaeota-1 tRNA-His". It matches the Rfam family "tRNA". From Rfam's summary of the family: Transfer RNA (tRNA) molecules are approximately 80 nucleotides in length. Lineage: Archaea; Nanobdellati; Candidatus Huberarchaeota; Candidatus Huberarchaeia; Candidatus Huberarchaeales; Candidatus Huberarchaeaceae. The record is from RNAcentral.
GUGGAUGUGGUGUAAUGGCAGCAUGCUCGGUUGUGGUCCGUGUGACGCGGGUUCGACUCCCGCCUUCCGCC